RNAcentral lists this long non-coding RNA (3758 nucleotides) under Homo sapiens (human). RNAcentral describes it as "HSALNT0058591". Lineage: Eukaryota; Metazoa; Chordata; Mammalia; Primates; Hominidae. The record is from RNAcentral.
CCAGAAUAAAGGCCUUUCAUAUUCUUCCACACAAUAUUCAAAACCGUCCCCAGUGUCUACUGUUGCCAUCUUUUCAUCCGUAAGUACUCAAUGUUUAGCUCUCACUUGUAAGAACGUGUUGUUUGGUUUUCUGUUCCUGCAUUCAUUUGCUUAGGAUAAUGGCCUUCAACUGCAUACACGCAAAGAACAUGAUUUCAUUCUUUUGUAUGGCUGUAUAGUAUUCCAUAGUGUAUAUGUACUGCAUUUUCCUCAUGUAAUCUAAUCUCUAUUUAAUUAAUCAUUGAUAGGUACCUGGGUUGAUUCCACGUCUUUGCUAUUGUGAAUAGUCUUGCAAUGAAGAUAUUAGUGUAUGUGUCUUUUUGGUAGAAUAAUUUAUUUUCAUUUGGAUAUAUACACAUUAAUGGGAUUACUGGAUUGAAUGGUAGUUCUGUUUUAAUUUCCUUGAGAAAUCUCCAAACUGCUUUAUACAGUGACUGAACUAAUUAACAUUCCUACCAACAGUGUAUAAGUGUUCCCUUUUCUCCACAGUUGUGCCAGCAUCUGUUGUUUUAACUUUCUUUAUUAGAAAUAAAUAAUGGUCAUUUUUACUGAUGUGAUAUCCCACUGGGUUUUGAUUUACAUUUCUCUCAUGAUUAGUGACGUUGAACAUUUUUUCAAGUUUGUUGGCUUCUUUUGAGAAGUAUCUGUUCAUGUAUUUUGCUGAUUUUUUAAUGGGGUUAUUUGUUUUUGGUCUGGUGUCCAGGCUGGAGUGCACUGACAUGAUCUUGGCUCACCUCAACCUCGACCUCCCAGGUUCAAGUGAUUUUCCCACCUCAGCCUCCUGAGCAGCUGGGACAACGAUCAGAUGGAUGUAGGUGUGCAGCUUCCUUUCUGAGUUCUCUAUUCUGUUUCAUUGGUCUAUGUGUCUGUUUUUGUGCCAAUACCAGGUGUUUUGUUUACUGUAGCCUUAUAGUAUAGCUUGAAGUUGUGUCAUGUGAGGCUUCUGGCUUUGUUCUUUUUGCUUAGGACUGCUUUGGCUAUGUGGGCUCUUUUUUGGCUCCAUAUUAAUUUAGAAUAGUGUUUUCUAGUUCUGUGAAAAAUGCUAUUGAUAGCUUGAUAGGAAUAUGGUUGAAUUUGUAGAUUGUUUUGGGCAGUAUGGUCAUUUUAACAAUAUUGAUUCUUCAAUCCUUGAGCACAGAAUGUUUUUCCAUUUGUGUCACCUAUUAUUUCUUUAAGCAGUGUUUUAUAGUUCUCUUUGUAUAGGUCUUUCACCUCUCUGACAGAGAGUGACUUAGACAAUUUUGGCUGCUAUAACAAAGUCUACUUAGUUAGAAACAACUUUACAUACAUAAAAUAUCUAUUCUUCAAUGGUUCCUGUACAUGGUUCCAAAACAUACCCCAGGAUUAAAAUGAAUUUUUCUCACAUACAUGCCAGUGUUUUUUCAAACCACUUUAUGACAUCCUACUACUUUUUUCUUUUGCCACAGCAGUUCAGUUUGAGAGGUUCUGUGAGAUGUCUUUGAUAUGGAAGAGUUACUAAAAAAGGAAACUUAGAGCUUAGAGAAACAGGAAAUUUUGCUUCUAAACAUUUAAGUAUAGAAAUAAACACAGCUAUACAUUGGUGAAGACAACAUACUGUUAGUAUCACAAUGAGAUGUGGCAUUUGGAUUAAGUUGAAAGGAAAGUAUUUCUAAUUAUACAACUGAAUUACAGAUGACAAUUUGAACUGCUUAAUGUAGUUUAUAGAUUAAAAAGUUCAUAGUGACAUUUUCCUUUUUCUUCUAGCCACCCUUUGAUAACCCCUUUAAUGGAAUGUUGUGAGCCACAGGUUCAAAAGUAGUGAACGCUUAGGAGGCUUAACUUAUCCUAAUGACCUUUCAAUGCAAAGCAAAAGGUCAACAGUUAGUGUUACAUUGAGGCUGACAAAGAAUGUUGCCUAAACCUGAAUGACAAAAGCUUGCUACUGGAGGUCACCUCUUAAUUGACUUUCCUGACAUUAAUGCUUGUUGUAAACCAGGAAACUCAUUUUGAAGUUGCAGUCCUUUCUUCAAAGUCUUGCUUAUUAUAGAUAACAUAUUUGUCAUAUCGGUCACUGUUUACUCAGCCUUAUGAAUGUUUUAUAGAAACCAUCAAAUGUUGCUCAUUCUUUCACAAGUCACAUAUUAAGUACAAUUUCUUUAAACUCAAUUGGGGUUUCAAGCUUUGUCUGUAAUAUGUACACGCAUCUAAUGAACUUUAGGUCUUUGGCAUUCCUGGACAUGUCUAUUGUGUUAAUACCCUUGGUGUGUUCAUCAUUUACAGAAGGCAAGGUGGAAUGCAGACUGGACUGAGCAGACCAGUGUUACAGUGCCCACACUAACAUACCUUAUUUUUUAACUUGGCAUUGUUUAGAUGCUACUCUUAAAUUCAGGAGAUGCCUAAAAGUUUAUAUGCGAGCCUAGUAGACAAGAGUCCUGUUUCUCAAACUUUCUAGGUCUCAUUGUUCUAAUUUAUAAAUUUAGAAUUUUUGUAAGUGAUCUAUAACUCUAGUUAUACUGAUAUUGUAUUUCAAACAUGUUUGUUCUCUGUUACCUUUAGCUGAAAUAGAACAAUGUGAAUAUUCCAUAGCCUCUGAUUAUUCAUAUUUUGUUGAAUAUCUGUUCUCUACCACUCCUCCAAAUUUGGCAAACAUGUCUUUAAAGUACUUGAGACAAUCCAAAGCAUAUUCAUCAGUCUUUUCCUCCUAGAUGUCUGUCCCUUAUUCCUUAUAGAGGAAAUAUGAUCUCAUAACCUCAAGUUUAAAGAACCAUACAAUAUUAAGCUAGAAGAGACUUUAAAAAGUCAUAUACUCCAGCAGUGCUAUUCAUUGGCCACUCAAAUCUGUUCCACUCUUCCCAAGAGGUCUGCUAGACCUGCAUUGUACAAUAUGAAAACCAUCAUUUAAAUUUAAAUUUAAAUUAAUAAAAAUUAGGUAAAAUUAAACUUUACUUCUUCAGUUGUACUAGCCACAUUUCAAGUGCUCAUAAGCUACAUGUGGCUAUCAGAGUCCAUAUUGCACAGCACAGAAAUAAAUUACUUCCACCAUCACAGAACGUUCUAUUAGACAGUGAUGAUGUAAACUAAGCUUUAAUACUUUCAUUACAUUAAGCCCACCACCUCCCAGGUACUUUGAUACUUUUACAAUACUAUUUUGUUAAAAUUUUUUUUCCAUAUUUGUAAUCAAACUCUUGAAAUAUCUAUCCAUUUAUUCUUAAUUUUAUUUUUUAAAAUUAGCCUUCUAGUCACGCGCUCUUCUGCAUUUCUAUCCUUUCAGAUAUUUAAAGAAAAUUGUCAUGUGCCUCAUUUUCUCUUUUUUGUGUCCUCCUAUAUAGCUAUCUCCUGUAUUUUAGGUGUAUGAUAGAAUUUGCCCUGGAAACAUUAUUUUAAAAUCACAAAGUUUUAGUUGCAUUCUUAGUCACAAAUUGACAAACUUAAGUCACAGAUAUGUAAAUACAUAAACAUUUACAUAAAAAGAAAUAAUAACUUUUCCUCCUAAUCCUCCCACCCAUCCCCAGUGCCAGGCAUAGAGUAAGCAAUCAGUAAAUCCUAGCUGAAUUAAUGCAUGAAUAAACUUCACCAUGUUGCUCUUAAUAUAUUAAUGCUUGUUCUUGAUGUGUUAUCUUCUCCAUGUAGUAAAUUAAAAACUCUUAUUAUAAAAAUAAUAUUCAUCCUAGAUAACCUGGUAUAUACAUAAGAAAAAAAGAUCAAAAUACUACCAUUUGAAUGGGCAGUCAAAUCUGUCACUUAGACAUGACUAAUAU